This 1093-nucleotide ribosomal RNA is filed under the name Eurotiomycetes sp. genotype 284. RNAcentral's name for it is "eukaryotic LSU rRNA". The stretch from base 500 to 1093 matches the Rfam family "Eukaryotic large subunit ribosomal RNA", at positions 1 to 598 of the family's 3401-position model. The record is from RNAcentral. Lineage: Eukaryota; Fungi; Ascomycota; Eurotiomycetes.
ACUGAGUGAGGGCCCUCUGGGUCCAACCUCCCACCCGUGUUUUAUUGUACCUUGUUGCUUCGGCAGGCCCGCCUCACGGCCGCCGGGGGGCCUCUGCCCCCGGGCCCGCGCCUGCCGAAGACACCCUUGAACGCUGUCUGAAGUUUGCAGUCUGAGCGAAAAGCAAAAUUUAUUUAAAACUUUCAACAACGGAUCUCUUGGUUCCGGCAUCGAUGAAGAACGCAGCGAAAUGCGAUAACUAAUGUGAAUUGCAGAAUUCAGUGAAUCAUCGAGUCUUUGAACGCACAUUGCGCCCCCUGGUAUUCCGGGGGGCAUGCCUGUCCGAGCGUCAUUGCUGCCCUCAAGCACGGCUUGUGUGUUGGGCCUCCGUCCCCCACCCGGGGGACGGGCCCGAAAGGCAGCGGCGGCACCGUGUCCGGUCCUCGAGCGUAUGGGGCUUUGUCACCCGCUCUGUAGGCCCGGCCGGCGCCUGCCGACCCUCAUCAUCCUUUUUUCAGGUUGACCUCGGAUCAGGUAGGGAUACCCGCUGAACUUAAGCAUAUCAAUAAGCGGAGGAAAAGAAACCAACAGGGAUUGCCCCAGUAACGGCGAGUGAAGCGGCAAGAGCUCAAAUUUGAAAGCUGGCUCCUUCGGGGUCCGCAUUGUAAUUUGCAGAGGAUGCUUCGGGAGCGGCCCCCAUCUAAGUGCCCUGGAACGGGCUGUCAUAGAGGGUGAGAAUCCCGUAUGGGAUGGGGUGUCCGCGCCCGUGUGAAGCUCCUUCGACGAGUCGAGUUGUUUGGGAAUGCAGCUCUAAAUGGGUGGUAAAUUUCAUCUAAAGCUAAAUAUUGGCCGGAGACCGAUAGCGCACAAGUAGAGUGAUCGAAAGAUGAAAAGCACUUUGAAAAGAGAGUUAAAAAGCACGUGAAAUUGUUGAAAGGGAAGCGUUUGCGACCAGACUCGCCUACGGGGUUCAGCCUACCUUCGGGUAGGUGUACUUCCCCGUGGGCGGGCCAGCGUCGGUUUGGGCGGCCGGUCAAAGGCCCUCGGAAUGUAACGCCUCUCGGGGCGUCUUAUAGCCGAGGGUGCCAUGCGGCCUGCCCGGACCGAGGAACGC